This 74-nucleotide transfer RNA is filed under the name Methylobacterium sp. 190mf. Its description in RNAcentral is "tRNA_Pseudo_ACG". Lineage: Bacteria; Pseudomonadati; Pseudomonadota; Alphaproteobacteria; Hyphomicrobiales; Methylobacteriaceae. The record is from RNAcentral.
GUUGUUUUAUUUCAGGGGCCGGGGCCAGACUACGAAUCUGGGGGUCAGAGGUUCGAAUCCUUUCGGGCGCGCCA